UGUAAGAGCUGGAACAUGAGCUCAGAGCAGGAGUUUUAGAAAAUGGGGUGGGUGAAAAGAGAGAUUCUCCAUCCUGGGCUGUGUUUGGGGAGAAAACAGGGCUGGCAGAGUGGCCAAGAAGGGCAGAGAGCUGAGUUAUUUUUCUAACACCCUUUCUGACCACCUCUGCUUACUAUGGUGAUUGAUUGAUGAUUGACUGAUUGACUUUCAGAUUUAAAGGAUUUAUCUUUUCCCCCCAGAAGAGCAGAGAGCUGCCAGCAGGGCUGGCACCCCCAGCAGUCAAACAGCUCAGCCAGGCUGUGUAAGAGGAGCAGGGAAGGAUUUAAACUGGAGGCAGCAGUGAAAUCAGGUGACAGAUGGACUUAAAAAUGUGCAACUCGUCACCAGGGCCAGAGUGACCCUGCCCAUCAGCACUGCUGUGUGCAAGGGAAUUCUUGGAUGAAAACAGCACCACUAACAGCUAUGGAGAGGGGAGAGGAAGAGAUACAAACAUUUCCAGCGUUGUAAAGUACAGCCAGCCUCAGGUCAGGUAUUUCCUCCUCAGGUUAGAUAUUUCCUCCUGCUGUUAAUCCAUUGUUUAAAUCAAAUUGGUCACAAAUCUAGAUAAUCUCAUUCAAAAUUAGGGUGAUAUAAAACCUGAUUCCUUGAAUCCCUUCAUUAUACUUCUAUUACAUUUUUGGUCUGUGAUCUUUCAAUUUCAGCAAUAAUUUCCCAAUACUGCAUUUCCAGUGUUCCACGUGACCUCUUACAUCCAAAAAGCUGC
Ficedula albicollis (Collared flycatcher) is the source of this 763-nucleotide long non-coding RNA. RefSeq lists it as uncharacterized. The transcript has 3 exons. Lineage: Eukaryota; Metazoa; Chordata; Aves; Passeriformes; Muscicapidae. The record is from RefSeq and is a predicted model, not a curated record.